This 427-nucleotide ribosomal RNA is filed under the name uncultured beta proteobacterium. RNAcentral's name for it is "bacterial SSU rRNA". It matches the Rfam family "Bacterial small subunit ribosomal RNA", at positions 355 to 774 of the family's 1533-position model. The record is from RNAcentral. Lineage: Bacteria; Pseudomonadati; Pseudomonadota; Betaproteobacteria.
UGGGGAAUUUUGGACAAUGGGCGAAAGCCUGAUCCAGCCAUGCCGCGUGAGUGAAGAAGGCCUUCGGGUUGUAAGGCUCUUUUAGUCGGAAAGAAAGAGUUGCAAUGAAUAAUUGUGAUUUAUGACGGUACCGACAGAAAAAGCACCGGCUAACUACGUGCCAGCAGCCGCGGUAAUACGUAGGGUGCGAGCGUUAAUCGGAAUUACUGGGCGUAAAGGGUGCGCAGGCGGUCUUGCAAGUCAGAUGUGAAAGCCCCGGGCUUAACCUGGGAAUUGCGUUUGAAACUACAAGGCUAGAGUGCAGCAGAGGGGAGUGGAAUUCCAUGUGUAGCAGUGAAAUGCGUAGAGACGUGGAAGAACACCGAUGGCGAAGGCAGCUCCCUGGGUUGACACUGACGCUCAUGCACGAAAGCGUGGGGAGCAAACA